Molecule: ribosomal RNA, 371 nt
Filed under: uncultured bacterium
Lineage: Bacteria
Description: partial 16S ribosomal RNA
Rfam family: Bacterial small subunit ribosomal RNA
Source: RNAcentral
CCUACGGGAGGCAGCAGUGAGGAAUAUUGGUCAAUGGCCGUAAGGCUGAACCAGCCAAGUAGCGUGAGGGAAGACUGCCCUAUGGGUUGUAAACCUCUUUUAUGCGGGGAUAAAGGUGUCCACGUGUGGAUGUUUGCAGGUACCGCAUGAAUAAGGACCGGCUAAUUCCGUGCCAGCAGCCGCGGUAAUACGGAGGGUCCGGGCGUUAUCCGGAUUUAUUGGGUUUAAAGGGAGCGUAGAGCGGUUAGUAAGCGUGCCGUGAAAGUUUGUGGCUCAACCGUGAGAUUGCGGUAGGUACUGGCAGCCGUGAGUACAGGUGAGGGAGGGGGAAUUCGUGGUGUAGCGGUGAAAUGCGUAGAUAUCACGAAGAA